GAGGCAAUGGUACUUUCUCUGCUUGCUUCCGUUAUGAGAACUUGAAUCAUGAAAAGCAAAGUGUGUAACAAAGGGUCGCAAUAGAUAUUGCAAACAUGCCUUUUUGAUCCAUUUAUAAACCCAUUCAAGCAUAGUUGGAUGCUUCAGGUAAAUUAUUUUUGAUAGGAAAGAAAGGUUAAUGGGGCUUGAGAAAACUGUGUCCGAAGUCAGUUAUGCAUAUAGAA
This 224-nucleotide long non-coding RNA is filed under the name Elaeis guineensis (African oil palm). Its description in RNAcentral is "long non-coding RNA (EGUI_LNC002824)". Lineage: Eukaryota; Viridiplantae; Streptophyta; Magnoliopsida; Arecales; Arecaceae. The record is from RNAcentral.